UACGAAGGGAGCUAGCGUUGUUCGGAAUCACUGGGCGUAAAGCGCACGUAGGCGGAUGUGUCAGUCAGGGGUGAAAUCCCGGAGCUCAACUUCGGAACUGCCCUUGAUACAGCACGUCUUGAGUCCGGAAGAGGUGGGUGGAAUUCCUAGUGUAGAGGUGAACUUCGUAGAUAUUAGGAAGAACACCGGUGGCGAAGGCGGCCCACUGGUCCGGUACUGACGCUGAGGUGCGAAAGCGUGGGGAGCAAACAGG
This 253-nucleotide ribosomal RNA is filed under the name uncultured bacterium. RNAcentral describes it as "partial 16S ribosomal RNA". It matches the Rfam family "Bacterial small subunit ribosomal RNA", at positions 524 to 776 of the family's 1533-position model. The record is from RNAcentral.